RNAcentral lists this ribosomal RNA (476 nucleotides) under uncultured bacterium. RNAcentral describes it as "partial 16S ribosomal RNA". It matches the Rfam family "Bacterial small subunit ribosomal RNA", at positions 28 to 507 of the family's 1533-position model. The record is from RNAcentral.
GACGAACGCUGGCGGCGUGCCUAAUACAUGCAAGUCGAGCGCUGAAGGUUUGUACUUGUACCGUCUUGAUGAGCAGCAAACGGGAGAGUAACGCGUGUGGAAUCUGCCUUUGAUUGGGGGACAACAUUGGGAAACGAAUGCUAAUACCGCAUAAAAACUUUAAACACAGUGGGGAAGGUUGAAAUAUGCAAUUUCGGCACUCAAGGAUGAUCGCUCGGGUUAUUAGCUAGUUGGUGGGGUAAAGGCUCACCAAGGCGAUGAUGGGUAGCCGGCCUGAGAGGGUGACCGGCCACAUUGGGACUGAGGUACGGCCCAGACGCCUACGUGAGGCAGCAGUGGGGAAUAUUGCACAAUGGGCGGAAGCCUGAUGCAGCAACUCCGCGUGCGGGAUGACGGCUUGCGGGUUGUAAACCGCUUUCGCCGGUGACGAAGCGUGAGUGACGGUAAUGGGUAAAGAAGCGCCGGCUAACUACGUG